This 250-nucleotide ribosomal RNA is filed under the name uncultured bacterium. Its description in RNAcentral is "partial 16S ribosomal RNA". It matches the Rfam family "Bacterial small subunit ribosomal RNA", at positions 524 to 773 of the family's 1533-position model. The record is from RNAcentral.
UACGAAGGAUCCAAGCGUUAUCCGGAUUUAUUGGGUUUAAAGGGUGCGUAGGCGGCCUAUUAAGUCAGUGGUGAAAGCCUGAUGCUCAACAUCAGAACUGCCAUUGAUACUGAUGGGCUUGAAUACACUUGAGGAGGGCGGAAUGUGUCAUGUAGCGGUGAAAUGCUUAGAUAUGACACAGAACACCGAUUGCGAAGGCAGCUCUCUAAGGUGUUAUUGACGCUGAGGCACUAAAGCGUGGGGAGCAAAC